RNAcentral lists this long non-coding RNA (2093 nucleotides) under Amborella trichopoda. RNAcentral's name for it is "long non-coding RNA (ATRI_LNC001308)". The record is from RNAcentral. Lineage: Eukaryota; Viridiplantae; Streptophyta; Magnoliopsida; Amborellales; Amborellaceae.
UUUUUUUGUGAAAGUAACUUUUUUUUUCUUGUCGAAGUAAUUUUUAUUUUUUUGUCAAUAUAUCUUGUAUUUUAUUUUUGGACAAAAAACAAAAAAACAUUGGACUAGUGACAAUUUCUAAAGUACCUAUAAAAGUCAGGCAUUUACAAGUUCGUCCUCAAGAUAAUACUCAUUCCAUAUUGAUCUUUUGGGGCUUCCUCUGCCCCCGCCAGCUCAUGCCUUCCCGCGUAUAAUGCCUGUUCACAUAUCAAAGUUGUCAAAGUAUAAUGGAACACCAUGGCUAUUACAUGUGAGCUCCGCAAAGCAAUAACGUAACAGUUAUGGCCUACUUCGACUCCAACUGCACAUCUAGAUAGAGAGAGAGAGGUUGUUUUGCCAUUGAUUCAAAUGGUAGAGUUUAGAGGGUAAAGCUUCUUACCUCCAAACAAACAAGCACGCAAUAAAAUUUCUCACCCAACACUAUUAUUAUUCAAAUCUUUUUUUUGAAACGGUAAGAGUAAUAUUCAUUAGAUAGUGGAGCAAAACUCGUAAAUAUAAAAGUACAAGACGAAAAAAAUCAGGAGGAGUUCUCCCUAGAUCCAAGACUGACCAAACCUAACUCCUAGAAUACACCAAACCUAAAAACCUCGCCAAUACAUGCACCAAUUGAUCCAAACAAAAAUACACAAAAACCUCGUCUUUUCAAAACAAAACUUCUGAGCUCCUACUUCCAACAAGUAGCCCCAAGAGCGCGCCUCCCUAAUCAAUGCUUUUUUCUGCCUAACAAACGUUGCAAUCUUGUGAUCAAAGUCUCAGCUGUGAGGUCCAUGACUAUUGAGGACUGCAUUUUUCCAUUUCCUUUUAAUUGCUAGAACCGAAAACAAGCCUCCAAAUCCCAUCCGAAACCCCAAGCUCAUACCCAUCCAAAAUGAUGAAACCUUUCGCGAACUACUUCUCAAAUGCCCUUCACCAUUUAUGAUUGGAACUAUGUUAUCACCAUCACACUUUUUAGGAAGAGAAGGACCACAAAGAUCUUGGUUUCCAUAAUAUGUUAGAAGCCUCGAAUGUACUCAUAUGACCAGCACAGGGAAUUGGUCCUGAUAAUUUGCUGUAUGACAAGUUCAAAGCUCCCAAACCCUCAUGCUACUGGAAAGGGAUUUUUUGAUAAAUCCAUAGACUAUAAAUCUCUAAAUCUAUUAAUAUUCAGAAGAAUCUCUCAGAUCAAGUGGUUGCUGGAUAAAUUAUACACAAACAAGCCAAUCAGCUUCACCAGUGAUUCAAGAAUCUUUCUUGAGAGACUAUUGCUUGAAAGGUCUAUGGUAGUUGCAAGAAAAAGAAACUAAAUUGAGAGACUAUUGCUUGAAAGGUCUAUGGUAGUUACAAGAAAAAGAAACUAAAUUUAAUAUCUCAGUGCCCCUUUUUCCACUAUAUCAAUUCUUGAGUAGUCGAAGGGCCCAUAGUGAUCAUAGGUGGAGCAAGACAUCUUCUCCAUAAUUGUCAUGGCAGAAGUUUUUGAAAAUGUCAGGGCUAUCAUCAAGUGACAAAACAAAGAACCAUGUACACAAAGAAAGAACUUAACCAAAAUAUUUAUAAGUAAGAAAAGGAGAGUGAAAAAAGGGCCUAUGUUGGAAAUAGCUUCUCCAAUAUCUCGAUCUGAUCAAUGAUCCAUAAAGAGGAAGCAUGGACCUUCUUCUGCUUCGUAAUCGCAAGAGGCAAGCCAUCACACUCGCACUUUUGGAGCAAAUUUUUCUUUGGGCUUUUGAGACUUGAUGUGCUUCUCGACGUUCUUGUUGAGUUCGCUCUGAGUUCGCUAUAGAGAUUGAUCUUUUCUCGGACUAUGAUCAUCUUUUAUAUCAUCAUUUUCUCCUGCAAAUUCACAACAGCCUUCAACCUUUUGUGAUGCUCAUGAGACUUGCUUGGAUCCAUGUGAUUUUUUAGAGAGAGAGAGAUAUUUAUGGUGAGAUUGUCCGGGAGGGAACGGAAAGAGGUCUUGUCCUUUUCUUUCAUUAAAUCUGUGGGAAGUUACUUUAUUUUAUGAGCUCAUAUAGUAUGCUCCCAUGGGAGCAUAUUCUGUAUCUACUCUAUUUAGGACUAUUAUUUUAUUCUAAAUUUCG